UAAAAAUAUCAAUCACAAUUCAAAACAAAAUUCAAAUAUUUCAAAUACAUUAGAAAUGAGAGUAAUAACUUAUUUGUAUUUUAAACUUUUUUAUAAAUAUAUUAUUUUUUUGGAAUAUUUUUAAAAAUACAAAUGAUAUUCGGGGCGGAUUCGGAGCGGAUCAUGGCGGGGCGAAUUCGGGGCGGAUUUGGGACGGGUCAAAAUUUUUUCCGUUUCCUGCCCCGAAUCCGUCUCAGAUCGUAAAACUUAUCCCGUUUCCUGCCCCGAAUCCGUUUAUUUUCUCCCAUUUACUGCUCCCGUCGGGGCGGAUCGGGGCAGGAGCUCCACCAACCCGGAUCCGUUUGCAUCCCUAAUAGAGAGAGAGAGAGAGAGAGAGAAUUGAGCUCCUAUGCUUUUAAAAGUAUCAAGUUAUUGGUGCUUGUAAGUUUUCGGUUCUUGGAUUAAAGGAUGUGCGGUUAGGAUGAUGUGGACUCUCUAGGAUUGAGUGGUGGUUAGUUUAAUAGUAUAAUCUAACGGGUAAAAUGAUCAAAAGCGGAGAUCUAACGGUAAAAAAUUUACAAAUACCAAGUGCUUGGUACUUUUAAAAGUUUUACUUGUUACAAAAGAAGUGUAUUAUUGAAGGA
This 623-nucleotide long non-coding RNA is filed under the name Ananas comosus (pineapple). Its description in RNAcentral is "long non-coding RNA (ACOM_LNC021754)". Lineage: Eukaryota; Viridiplantae; Streptophyta; Magnoliopsida; Poales; Bromeliaceae. The record is from RNAcentral.